GACGAACGCUGGCGGCGUGCCUAAUACAUGCAAGUAGAACGCACAGUUUAUACCGUAGCUUGCUACACCAUAGACUGUGAGUUGCGAACGGGUGAGUAACGCGUAGGUAACCUGCCUGGUAGCGGGGGAUAACUAUUGGAAACGAUAGCUAAUACCGCAUAAUAUUGAUUAUUGCAUGAUAAUUAAUUGAAAGGUGCAAUUGCACCACUACCAGAUGGACCUGCGUUGUAUUAGCUAGUAGGUGAGGUAACGGCUCACCUAGGCGACGAUACAUAGCCGACCUGAGAGGGUGAUCGGCCACACUGGGACUGAGACACGGCCCAGACUCCUACGGGAGGCAGCAGUAGGGAAUCUUCGGCAAUAGACGAAAGUCUGACCGAGCAACGCCGCGGGAGUGAAGAAGGUUUUCGGAUCGUAAAGCUCUGUUGUAAGAGAAGAACGGGUGUGAGAGUGGAAAGUUCACACUGUGACGGUAUCUUACCAGAAAGGGACGGCUAACUACGUG
This 505-nucleotide ribosomal RNA is filed under the name uncultured bacterium. RNAcentral describes it as "partial 16S ribosomal RNA". It matches the Rfam family "Bacterial small subunit ribosomal RNA", at positions 28 to 507 of the family's 1533-position model. The record is from RNAcentral.